RNAcentral lists this ribosomal RNA (443 nucleotides) under uncultured eukaryote. RNAcentral's name for it is "SSU rRNA". It matches the Rfam family "Eukaryotic small subunit ribosomal RNA", at positions 640 to 1087 of the family's 1831-position model. The record is from RNAcentral.
CUUGGGCCUGGCUGGCCGGUCCGCCUCACCGCGUGUACUGGUCCGGCCGGGCCUUUCCUUCUGGGGAACCUCAUGCCCUUCACUGGGCGUGUUGGGGAACCAGGACUUUUACUUUGAAAAAAUUAGAGUGUUCAAAGCAGGCCUUUGCUCGAAUACAUUAGCAUGGAAUAAUAGAAUAGGACGUGUGGUUCUAUUUUGUUGGUUUCUAGGACCGCCGUAAUGAUUAAUAGGGAUAGUCGGGGGCAUCAGUAUUCAAUCGUCAGAGGUGAAAUUCUUGGAUUGAUUGAAGACUAACUACUGCGAAAGCAUUUGCCAAGGAUGUUUUCAUUAAUCAGUGAACGAAAGUUAGGGGAUCGAAGACGAUCAGAUACCGUCGUAGUCUUAACCAUAAACUAUGCCGACUAGGGAUCGGACGGUGUUAGUAUUUUGACCCGUUCGGCACC